GAUGAAGAACGUAGUGAAAUGCGAUAAGUAAUGCGAAUUGCAGAAUUUCCGUGAGUCAUCGAAUCUUUGAACGCACAUUGCGCCCGCCAGUAUUCUGGCGGGCAUGCCUGUUCGAGCGUCAUUUCAACCCUCAAGCACAGCUUGGUGUUGGGACUCGCGUUAAUUCGCGUUCCUCAAAUUGAUUGGCGGUCACGUCGAGCUUCCAUAGCGUAGUAGUAAAACCCUCGUUACUGGUAAUCGUCGCGGCCACGCCGUUAAACCCCAACUUCUGAAUGUUGACCUCGGAUCAGGUAGGAAUACCCGCUGAACUUAAGCAUAUCAAUAAGCGGAGGA
This 333-nucleotide unclassified non-coding RNA is filed under the name soil metagenome. RNAcentral's name for it is "partial contains 5.8S ribosomal RNA, internal transcribed spacer 2, and large subunit ribosomal RNA". The stretch from base 1 to 121 matches the Rfam family "5.8S ribosomal RNA", at positions 35 to 154 of the family's 154-position model. The record is from RNAcentral.